AGAAGCCACAGUUAAUUCUUCGGAAAAUUCAACAGCUGUGGAACUUCAGAAACAGCACCAUCAAACAGACUAAAUAAGAAGUGUUUAAACUGAAUAAACUGCCAAGAAGGAUAAGACAGCUGUAUGGAAAUGAUUUGCCAUUAUCUUCUCCUGGAAUGUUUUUCUGUAUCUCCCAAUCUAAUCUAUAUACUGUAUCUCCUGGUUCCUGAGGGUUUUCAACAAAGUAUUAAUCUGGCCCAAACCUGCUUAACUUCUGAGCCCAGAGAUGUUUGGCAGGUAGAAAAGUACGCCAGCAUAAAAUUUGCCUGAGAUGUAUCCAGCAUCAACAGCAGCUGCAGCAGUUUCUGCCUUAAAAUUUGAAUGUGGACCAGUUUACUUGGAAGUUCAUCCAGUGGUGGGUUGCCCCCGGUUCGCACCGGUUCUGUAGUAAAACCGGCAGGAGGCUCCGCCCACCAACCCCGAUGUCAUCAAAACGCUUGUGCAGAAGAUCACGCGUGCGCGCUCGCUUCGCUCAUGCACGUACGUGGCCCCGCUGUGAACCAGUAGUAAAACUAGACCACAUCUACUGGGAAGCAGACAUUCUCGUGCUGAAACAUCUCACAACUGAAGGAACUGCCAUCUUUUCCCUGAGUAAGUGUUCCCUGGUUAACUCUGCUGCCUGCAUCUCAGUUCCAGAGGAGGCAGAAGAGGUUUUCUUGUAUUGAGAGU
Long non-coding RNA from Pantherophis guttatus, 708 nucleotides. RefSeq lists it as uncharacterized. NCBI's taxonomy places the organism in Eukaryota, Metazoa, Chordata, Lepidosauria, Squamata, Colubridae. The record is from RefSeq and is a predicted model, not a curated record.